AGUUUCAGGAGGGUGUCCAUAGGAACUGGCAAAGGCUUGAUGAGAAAGAUCUCUUUCUAGCCUUUCCUGCAUCAUAGAUGGGCUCCCGCAUGU
Molecule: small nucleolar RNA, 93 nt
Organism: Hippopotamus amphibius kiboko
Lineage: Eukaryota; Metazoa; Chordata; Mammalia; Artiodactyla; Hippopotamidae
Product: small nucleolar RNA SNORA12
Exons: 1
Source: RefSeq, a predicted model, not a curated record